RNAcentral lists this small RNA (24 nucleotides) under Arabidopsis thaliana (thale cress). Its description in RNAcentral is "ATSL299460". Lineage: Eukaryota; Viridiplantae; Streptophyta; Magnoliopsida; Brassicales; Brassicaceae. The record is from RNAcentral.
UACAGGAAGAUCGUACACUGACUC